AAAAAUCGAUAUAUUUUUUUAUUUUUAUUAUCUUAUUUUUUUAUUUUAAUACGGUUAUACUCGUUAUUUUGACUACAAAAAAUGAAUUUGAGUUUGAUCGAACCAAUAACUUACGCGUAGUGAAUUUUUGAUGUAAUGGUUUUAUUUUCAAUUUUCUACUUGUAACUCUUGUAUGUUUAUUAUUUAUUUGAUUAAAACAAUGAGAAAAAGUUAUUUCAGCAUGAAAAAAUAAGUUUUUUAUUUUUUGUUAAAUAAGUGCAUACGGUAGAAAAGUUCGCGUUAUGUCAAAAUAUCAUUAAUAAUUGGUACUUAAAUCAUCUGCAAGGAUAUUACGGUAUACCUUUAAUUUUUGAAAAAAAAAAUCCGUUUUACUCGUACGCUCCAUACAUUUGCUUAGAACAAAAAUUCACUACGCGUAAGUUAUUGGUUCGAUCAAACUCAAAUUCAUUUUUUGUAGUCAAAAUAACGAGUAUAACCGUAUAAAAAUAAAAAAAUAAAAAUAAAAAAUAUAUA
Molecule: long non-coding RNA, 513 nt
Organism: Cydia amplana
Lineage: Eukaryota; Metazoa; Arthropoda; Insecta; Lepidoptera; Tortricidae
Exons: 2
Source: RefSeq, a predicted model, not a curated record